Molecule: long non-coding RNA, 444 nt
Organism: Apodemus sylvaticus (European woodmouse)
Lineage: Eukaryota; Metazoa; Chordata; Mammalia; Rodentia; Muridae
Exons: 3
Source: RefSeq, a predicted model, not a curated record
GGCCAGUGUUGCCUGAUCAUGGGCACCAGCCAUGCACAUGGCGAAGACGGGGCCUUCUGUCACUGUGAGGAGAGGCAUUUGUGCGCUCACCUGAGGGGAGCCUGCGAGCAAAGGGAAGGGGGUGCUUCCUGAGUAGCUGUACCGUGUCACUGGGGUGGCCCUUCUCUCCUUCCUUGUGAGCAGCUUGGCCAGAGUGCCAGCACUGACUGCACCCUGAAGCCACCCAGCCUAAGGUCAACCUGCAGUGACCUCUUCCAAGUCACGGUGCCUACACAGCUCGGUUUAUCCAUGAACAAAAAUGGCAGCAACAGUUCUUCAGAUGGCACCAAGAGCUUGACUCAGCUGGACGGCGACCCCACACUCCUGCUGCCGUGGGUAGUGGACAAAGAUGCGCUGGAUCACGUUGCGCGGCCGGAAGACCUCCUUGGGGAAAACAUCCAGCAG